This 424-nucleotide ribosomal RNA is filed under the name Verrucomicrobiota bacterium. Its description in RNAcentral is "Verrucomicrobia bacterium partial 16S ribosomal RNA". It matches the Rfam family "Bacterial small subunit ribosomal RNA", at positions 355 to 776 of the family's 1533-position model. The record is from RNAcentral. Lineage: Bacteria; Pseudomonadati; Verrucomicrobiota.
UGAGGAAUAUUGGUCAAUGGACGCAAGUCUGAACCAGCCAAGUAGCGUGCAGGAUGACGGCCCUAUGGGUUGUAAACUGCUUUUAUAUGGGGAUAAAGUGGGGAACGUGUUCCCUUUUGCAGGUACCAUAUGAAUAAGGACCGGCUAAUUCCGUGCCAGCAGCCGCGGUAAUACGGAAGGUUCGGGCGUUAUCCGGAUUUAUUGGGUUUAAAGGGAGCGUAGGCCGUUUGGUAAGCGUGUUGUGAAAUGUAGGAGCUCAACUUCUGAAUUGCAGCGCAUACUGGUUUCCUUGAGUACGCACAACGUUGGCGGAAUUCGUCGUGUAGCGGUGAAAUGCUUAGAUAUGACGAAGAACUCCGAUUGUGAAGGCAGCUGACGGGAGCGCAACUGACGCUUAAGCUCGAAGGUGCGGGUAUCAAACAGG